CAGACAAGACACCAAGACAGGAGGCACAAAGACAAGAAAAGCCCUGCAGAUUAGAUGGUGAGGCAGAAAUCUUGCUUUUCCUCAAGUCAGGGCCACUGAUCACUUUGCAGCACACUCCAAAGAGCUGUGACCUCUUUAGGACAUAAAUCUCAGGAGUCACAUGCUCUGCCUUAGAGCUGUGCUGACACUUCUCUGAGUACUAAGAAGCAGCAAGGGCAUUUGCUGUAGCACAGAAACAGAACAAGCUUUGAUGAUUUUGGAUAAGAAUUCCCUGUUCCAGUUUGUGAUGUGGCUCCAAAGUCUGUCAGCAGAGGAAAGGCAAUGAGAGGUGGGAAUGUUCAGAGUCAGAAGCUGCCAUCUUCAGUGACCUCAUCAUUAGCAGGAUGAGAAUGAUAUGGGACAAGUUUCUCACCCUGUUUCUGCUGUGGUAAAGCUGAAGUAGUUCUGACUGUUUGGAUGUUUUGCCAUGGCAAAUUAGGUUCCUUCAAAAAUCUCCUCAAGGGAGUGUGGCAUCAUGAAGCCUUUCAUCAGGGGCCCCAGACUGGGCUCUGCUUCCAACUUCUUCAGAAGAACAGAACAAACAUCCUCCUUCCACUGAGCCGGAUGUUUUCCGAAGGUAGAACAAGGUAUCCUCUGUACCUCAAAGGGAGGAAGGAUCACAUAACACCAGGCAUAAAUGUGAAGUUACCAGUUUUCACAGGCUUUUUUAUUAUUAUUACUUUUUUAAACCAGGAAGCUUUCCCACAUCCCAGUUAGAGCUAUGAAGUUCUAUGGGUUUCCUCUGCUUUGGAUGUACUGACAUUCAAAUCCCAGACUCUCAAACACAGUCAUUACGUGCUGGGCACCUUAGCAGAGAGAGAGGGGCUGGUAGAUCAUUUCACUCUCAUAACAGCCCUAUAACAAGUACAGAAAUUGUGUGUAUGUGGAAAAUUAUUUAUCAGGAGGCAUUUGAUGUAUUUUUAGU
Molecule: long non-coding RNA, 964 nt
Organism: Passer domesticus (house sparrow)
Lineage: Eukaryota; Metazoa; Chordata; Aves; Passeriformes; Passeridae
Exons: 5
Source: RefSeq, a predicted model, not a curated record